GAGAGAUGAGGCUGUGCUCGAAAGAGAACCUGCACACAGGUGCUGCAUGGCUGUCGUCAGCUCGUGUCGUGAGAUGUUGGGUUAAGUCCCGCAACGAGCGCAACCCUUGUCAUUAGUUGCUACGAAAGGGCACUCUAAUGAGACUGCCGGUGACAAACCGGAGGAAGGUGGGGAUGACGUCAAGUCCUCAUGGCCCUUAUAGGUGGGGCCUACACACGUCAUACAAUGGCCGGUACAAAGGGCUGCAAACCCGCGAGGGGGAGCCAAUCCCUCAAAGCCGGUCGUAGUCCGGAUCGCAGUCUGCAACUCGCUGCGUGAAGUCGGAAUCG
This 329-nucleotide ribosomal RNA is filed under the name uncultured bacterium. RNAcentral describes it as "bacterial SSU rRNA". It matches the Rfam family "Bacterial small subunit ribosomal RNA", at positions 1001 to 1334 of the family's 1533-position model. The record is from RNAcentral.